ACACUCCUACGGGAGGCAGCAGUGGGGAAUAUUGGACAAUGGGCGCAAGCCUGAUCCAGCCAUGCCGCGUGAGUGAUGAAGGCCCUAGGGUUGUAAAGCUCUUUCACCGGAGAAGAUAAUGACGGUAUCCGGAGAAGAAGCCCCGGCUAACUUCGUGCCAGCAGCCGCGGUAAUACGAAGGGGGCUAGCGUUGUUCGGAAUUACUGGGCGUAAAGCGCACGUAGGCGGAUCGAUCAGUCAGGGGUGAAAUCCCAGGGCUCAACCCUGGAACUGCCUUUGAUACUGUCGAUCUGGAGUAUGGAAGAGGUGAGUGGAAUUCCGAGUGUAGAGGUGAAAUUCGUAGAUAUUCGGAGGAACACCAGUGGCGAAGGCGGCUCACUGGUCCAUUACUGACGCUGAGGUGCGAAAGCGUGGGGAGCAAACAGGAUUAGAUACCCGAGUAGUCCCA
Molecule: ribosomal RNA, 448 nt
Filed under: uncultured organism
Description: partial 16S ribosomal RNA
Rfam family: Bacterial small subunit ribosomal RNA
Source: RNAcentral